RNAcentral lists this ribosomal RNA (491 nucleotides) under uncultured bacterium. RNAcentral's name for it is "partial 16S ribosomal RNA". It matches the Rfam family "Bacterial small subunit ribosomal RNA", at positions 29 to 506 of the family's 1533-position model. The record is from RNAcentral.
AGUGAACGCUGGCGGUAGGCCUAACACAUGCAAGUCGAACGGCAGCACAGUAAGAGCUUGCUCUUACGGGUGGCGAGUGGCGGACGGGUGAGGAAUACAUCGGAAUCUACUUUUUCGUGGGGGAUAACGUAGGGAAACUUACGCUAAUACCGCAUACGACCUACGGGUGAAAGCAGGGGAUCUUCGGACCUUGCGCGAUUGAAUGAGCCGAUGUCGGAUUAGCUAGUUGGCGGGGUAAAGGCCCACCAAGGCGACGAUCCGUAGCUGGUCUGAGAGGAUGAUCAGCCACACGGGAACUGAGACACGGUCCAGACCCCUACGGGAGGCAGCAGUGGGGAAUAUUGGACAAUGGGCGCAAGCCUGAUCCAGCCAUACCGCGUGGGUGAAGAAGGCCUUCGGGUUGUAAAGCCCUUUUGUUGGGAAAGAAAAGCAGCAGGUUAAUACCCCGCUGUUCGGACGGUACCCAAAGAAUAAGCACCGGCUAACUUCGU